GUUAGUGCAAAAGGAGCAGAGGUAAGUCUAGGGUCCAACUUGAAGGCCACUGAGUGAAGCCUGGAGUUCCACUUGUUGCCAAAGGUGAUGAGAACGAUUCACAAAAAGUGUUAAUUUCUGUGGAGAUUACCACUGUGGAAACCGAAGAGGUGACUCAUGAGAAAUACAUGGUUUCAGUAUAGACAGAUAACAUUGUGCAAAGAAGAGAGACAAGGUGGUGGUAACAGCUGGAUGUUCAGUCUAGGUAUAUACCAGGUCAUGGCAAAGAAAUAUUUCAUGGCUGCUUCAUUCACUUAACAGCAUCAGAUCUGACCACUGAAUCAUAGUGUAUUGGCAUGGAAUUGACAAUUCUCUCGAGGGUCUCAAUACAGCAUUGUUUUUUGGUUGGUUGGUUGCUUGCUUUUUUUUAAAGAGAUUUUUAAAAAGUUUUUGAGGAGUCAGAUGCCCACAAAGCAAGCAGGGUUUUCAGCCCUUCUCCAUCACGCUCCUUUGACUAUUCCACCCACGUAAUGUAAGCAUCAUUAAUUGUAAACACAUGAGCAGUUCCACUGAAGCCUGAAGUUAAGUAUGUGUUUAGGUACU
This 582-nucleotide long non-coding RNA is filed under the name Anser cygnoides (Swan goose). RNAcentral's name for it is "lncRNA (ENSACDG00005011573.1)". The record is from RNAcentral. Lineage: Eukaryota; Metazoa; Chordata; Aves; Anseriformes; Anatidae.